Molecule: long non-coding RNA, 316 nt
Filed under: Salmo salar (Atlantic salmon)
Lineage: Eukaryota; Metazoa; Chordata; Actinopteri; Salmoniformes; Salmonidae
Description: lncRNA (ENSSSAG00000095967.1, ENSSSAG00020011296.1)
Source: RNAcentral
GUAGUAGAUAGAUACCAGUAUACUACUGUCUAAACUGAGGUAAUAGAUAGAUACCAGUAUACUACUGUCUAAACUGAGGUAAUAGAUAGAUACCAGUAUACUACUGUCUAAACUGAGGUAAUAGAUAGAUACCAGUAUACUACUGUCUAAACUGAGGUAGUAGAUAGUUCCAGUAUACUACUGUCUAAACUGAGGUAGUAUGCAGCCAGUACAUCCGUUCAGCAAGGCCUUUCUCUCUGUUGUGAGAUGGUGAGAUGGUAUAAACCAUGUGAGAUGGUAUAAAUGGCAAGUAAUAGUCAUUUGGCAGAAUGUUUCG